UGAAGCAGAGCCUACUAUGCCUCCUCCAAUCACUGCUACAUCAAAUUGUGAAGUAUCACCUGCACCUGCACUGUAUCUAGAAUAACAGUAUUGCAAAAUUAUAGAAAUUUCUGGCUGGUGGCGGAUUCAGGUUGUGAUACCUAGAGGCAACAACAUAAUUCAUAGGCCAUGGUUCCUAAUAUCCAACAAUAUACUAAAAAUGACUACAUUGUGCAUUUAAGUCACACUGAAGGAAGGCUUAUGAUCUAUCCCAUAAGUGAAUAAGUUCGCUUAUAGACGAGAUGUUUGGAAAAAGCUAGAUUUACCAGAAUUGUCUUUAAAAGUACCUUCGUAAUGUGCCAGUGGUAACAGGAUGACGAUAAUUAAAAUUUAGCAAAAAUCGCA
Bombyx mori (domestic silkworm) is the source of this 384-nucleotide long non-coding RNA. RefSeq lists it as uncharacterized. The record is from RefSeq and is a predicted model, not a curated record. The transcript has 2 exons. Lineage: Eukaryota; Metazoa; Arthropoda; Insecta; Lepidoptera; Bombycidae.